CUCUCUUUGGUCUUGUGUGAUGGGGGCCUUUGAGACCCCAGCUGUGUGCUAACAACUGUGGUGUCCUCUAGGUGUGCUGGGCAUCAAGGUGAAGAUCAUGCUGCCCUGGGACCCAACUGGUAAGAUUGGCCCUAAGAAGCCCCUGCCUGACCACGUGAGCAUUGUGGAACCCAAAGAUGAGAUACUGCCCACCACCCCCAUCUCAGAACAGAAGGGUGGGAAGCCAGAGCCGCCUGCCAUGCCCCAGCCAGUCCCCACAGCAUAACAGGGUCUCCUUGGCAGCUGUAUUCUGGAGUCUGGAUGUUGCUCUCUAAAGACCUUUAAUAAAAUCUUGUACAAAGACACAAGGUCUGACUAGACUGUUCAGUAUUCAGACUGAGGGGCAUGUUGGCCUCUGGAGCAUUACAUAUCUUCUUGGUUUUAACCAUACUUGUGGUAUUUGCAAGGGCCAGAACAGUAAGACCCAAGCAGAGCCAACCAGAGAAACAAUAUUUGUGUGAUAGAGAAGGCUGAUAGCAAGCAAGGCAGCACCUUGAUUCGUUGUCCUGUAGUUCAGGAUUGUAGGUUUAGAAGUGGGAUAUGUUUGAGUUUUUCCUAUGCAUAAGGCGAUCCACGUUGCACAUAGAAAGUGAAUAUAAAUGGCCAUUAUAUUUUGUGUCAUGCUGUGCUCUAAGUGUUCUUUACAUAUGUACUUGUUAAUCAACCUCUCUAAAGUGUAAAGGAAAUUUGCUUGCACCACUGAAGGCACGUAAGGCUCAGAAGUAAAUUUGCCUAAGCAGUAUAAAGCUAUCAUUAGAAUCCACAUUCCUAAGUUGUGUUCUCUUAGGGGAUCAUGGAACCAGUCAUUGGUACUACAGGCUGUUAUGUUCUGGAGAACUGUAAAGAACAUUUAAAUUGUCUCUGAUUUUAUCUAUCAAUGUUUUGAAGUAUUUUCUACCAGUGUCUGUACUUCACAAGAAAUUCGGCACUAUUUUUUAAGGCAAAACUAGUGAGGGACAGGUUGGCUUGAAAAUCAUGAGACUGAUGUUAAAUCAGAUGCUGGUUGAUCACAGAGGGGACUUACAGGGAAAGCUGUUACGGGCCUGGAAGGCCUAAUCAGGUGGCUGCUUCCUGGUGAUGCAGCCUGGCUGAUGAGAUAACCUUGGCUCCAUAGAUGGCUUAGCAGGUGCUGUGAUGAUUUGGUUGUCUUCUCAAUUAGACUGAGCUGCACAUGGUGUUUAUAUUGCUUGGCACAUGGUAAGGGCUUAAUAUUUGAGGUAAUUAUGUAGGGCGCACACUGACAAGUAUCUGACCCCCCCUUCCUUUUUGACUCAUAAAUUGGUCAUCUUAACCAUUUAAGUGUACACUUCUAUAGUGACAGAGUCAGCCCUCUGUCCAAGGGAUUUGCAUCUGUGGAUUCAACCAACUUUGGGUCAAAAAUAAUCAAAAAGGAUGGUUGUGUGUGUAUUGAAC
RNAcentral lists this long non-coding RNA (1452 nucleotides) under Pan troglodytes (chimpanzee). RNAcentral's name for it is "long non-coding RNA NONPTRT002764". Lineage: Eukaryota; Metazoa; Chordata; Mammalia; Primates; Hominidae. The record is from RNAcentral.